CCUACGGGUGGCAGCAGUGAGGAAUAUUGGUCAAUGGACGCAAGUCUGAACCAGCCAUGCCGCGUGAAGGAAGACGGAUCUCUGAGUUGUAAACUGCUUUUGUACGAGGGUAAACGCAGAUACGCGUAUCUGUCUGAAAGUAACGUACGAAGAAGGAUCGGCUAACUCCGUGCAAGCAGACGCGGUAAGACGGAGGAUUCAAGCGUUAACCGGAUUUAUUGGGUUUAAAGGGUGCGUAGGAGGUCGGAUAAGUUAGAGGUGAAAUCCCGAGGCUCAACUUCGGAAUUGCCUCUGAUACUGUUCGGCUAGAGUGUAGUUGUGGUAGGCGGAAUGUAUGGUGUAGCGGUGAAAUGCUUAGAGAUCAUACAGAACACCGAUUGCGAAGGCAGCUUACCAAGCUACUUCUGACGUUGAGGCACGAAAGCGUGGGGAGCAAACAGGAUUAGAUACCCCUGUAGUC
RNAcentral lists this ribosomal RNA (460 nucleotides) under uncultured bacterium. RNAcentral's name for it is "partial 16S ribosomal RNA". It matches the Rfam family "Bacterial small subunit ribosomal RNA", at positions 338 to 795 of the family's 1533-position model. The record is from RNAcentral.